CUCAGUUUUUGGUCAAAAAAAGUAAAAGAAUAUUUCAUCUUCAAGUGAUGGGAAAAAUAAUAUCAAAUAUAUAUUUGCAAGUAUAGGGGGAGAAAUAAGUCCCCUGCUUGAGAUUUUCCUGGUUUAGGAACUUGGAAAAUGUUUUCCACCCUUGUUCUAUGAGUUUUCCCAAUGAAGUUCCAAGCCAUUAAGUGCCCACCAUGAACAAAGCCCUGCUUUUGGCUUCCUCCUUAGCAAGCUUAAUAUUCUCUACUUCGAUGUUUUGUUUUUUGUUUUUUUUCCGCCCCAU
RNAcentral lists this long non-coding RNA (289 nucleotides) under Homo sapiens (human). RNAcentral's name for it is "HSALNT0095735". The record is from RNAcentral. Lineage: Eukaryota; Metazoa; Chordata; Mammalia; Primates; Hominidae.